This 468-nucleotide ribosomal RNA is filed under the name uncultured bacterium. RNAcentral's name for it is "partial 16S ribosomal RNA". It matches the Rfam family "Bacterial small subunit ribosomal RNA", at positions 28 to 507 of the family's 1533-position model. The record is from RNAcentral.
GACGAACGCUGGCGGCGUGCUUAACACAUGCAAGUCGAACGGAAAGGCCCUGCUUUUGUGGGGUGCUCGAGUGGCGAACGGGUGAGUAACACGUGAGUAACCUGCCCUUGACUUUGGGAUAACUUCAGGAAACUGGGGCUAAUACCGGAUAGGAGCUCCUGCUGCAUGGUGGGGGUUGGAAAGUUUCGGCGGUUGGGGAUGGACUCGCGGCUUAUCAGCUUGUUGGUGGGGUAGUGGCUUACCAAGGCUUUGACGGGUAGCCGGCCUGAGAGGGUGACCGGCCACAUUGGGACUGAGAUACUGCCCAGACUCCUACGGGAGGCAGCAGUGGGGAAUAUUGCACAAUGGGCGGAAGCCUGAUGCAGCAACGCCGCGUGCGGGAUGAAGGCCUUCGGGUUGUAAACCGCUUUCGCCUGUGACGAAGCGUGAGUGACGGUAAUGGGUAAAGAAGCACCGGCUAACUACGUG